This 468-nucleotide ribosomal RNA is filed under the name uncultured bacterium. RNAcentral's name for it is "partial 16S ribosomal RNA". It matches the Rfam family "Bacterial small subunit ribosomal RNA", at positions 28 to 507 of the family's 1533-position model. The record is from RNAcentral.
GACGAACGCUGGCGGCGUGCUUAACACAUGCAAGUCGAACGGAAAGGCCCUGCUUUUGUGGGGUGCUCGAGUGGCGAACGGGUGAGUAACACGUGAGUAACCUGCCCUUGACUUUGGGAUAACUUCAGGAAACUGGGGCUAAUACCGGAUAGGAGCUCCUGCUGCAUGGUGGGGGUUGGAAAGUUUCGGCGGUUGGGGAUGGACUCGCGGCUUAUCAGCUUGUUGGUGGGGUAGGGGCAUACCAAGGCUUUGACGGGUAGCCGGCCUGAGAGGGUGACCGGCGACAUUGGGCCUGAGAUACGGACCAGACUCGUACGGGAGGCAGCAGGGGGGAGUCUUGCACAAUGGGCGGAAGUGUGAUGCGGCAACGCCGCGUGCGGGAUGACGGCCUUCGGGUUGAAAACCGCUUUAGCCUGUGACGAAGCGUGAGUGACGGUAAUGGGUGAAGAAGCACCGGCUAACUACGUG